CAGCGCCACAAGUGGGGACCAUUAUUAUUGGGCCUAAAGCGUCCGUAGCCGGAUAUGUAAAUCCUUUGUGAAAUUGUUGGGCUUAACCUAACAGCGUGCAGAGGACACUGCGUAUCUCGAGACCGGGAGGAGUCAGAGGUAUGCUGGGGGAAGCGGUAAAAUGCUGUAAUCCUCGGUAGACCACCUAUGGCGAAGGCAUCUGACUAGAACGGGUCUGACGGUGAGGGACGAAAGCUGGGGGAGCGAUCCGGAUUAGAUACCCGAGUAGUCC
Molecule: ribosomal RNA, 271 nt
Filed under: uncultured archaeon
Lineage: Archaea
Description: partial 16S ribosomal RNA
Rfam family: Archaeal small subunit ribosomal RNA
Source: RNAcentral